GGUAUUCCUUAUCUGUCUAAUGGUUUAUUUGGAGCCUGUCUUCCUGCGCUCUGCGGCAAAGCGCACGAAGACAGGCUCAUCAGUUUAGUUGCCGCUAAAGUACUUAAC
Serratia marcescens FGI94 is the source of this 108-nucleotide non-coding RNA. NCBI's taxonomy places the organism in Bacteria, Pseudomonadati, Pseudomonadota, Gammaproteobacteria, Enterobacterales, Yersiniaceae. The record is from Rfam.